UACAGAGGUCUCAAGCGUUGUUCGGAUUCACUGGGCGUAAAGGGUGCGUAGGUGGUGAGGUAAGUCGGAUGUGAAAUCUCCGAGCUCAACUCGGAAAUGGCAUUGGAAACUACCUUGCUUGAGGGUUGGAGGGGGGACUGGAAUACUUGGUGUAGCAGUGAAAUGCGUAGAUAUCAAGUGGGACACCAGUGGCGAAGGCGAGCCCCUGGACAACUCCUGACACUGAGGCACGAAAGCUAGGGGAGCAAACAGG
Molecule: ribosomal RNA, 253 nt
Filed under: uncultured bacterium
Lineage: Bacteria
Description: partial 16S ribosomal RNA
Rfam family: Bacterial small subunit ribosomal RNA
Source: RNAcentral